RNAcentral lists this unclassified non-coding RNA (424 nucleotides) under uncultured Xeromphalina. RNAcentral describes it as "sequence contains ITS2". The stretch from base 1 to 154 matches the Rfam family "5.8S ribosomal RNA". Lineage: Eukaryota; Fungi; Basidiomycota; Agaricomycetes; Agaricales; Tricholomataceae. The record is from RNAcentral.
AACUUUCGGAAACGGAUCUCUUGGCUCUCGCAUCGAUGAAGAACGCAGCGAAAUGCGAUAAGUAAUGUGAAUUGCAGAAGUCAGUGAAUCAUCGAAUCUUUGAACGCACCUUGCGCUCCUUGGUAUUCCGAGGAGCAUGCCUGUUUGAGUGUCAUUAAAUUCUCAACCUCUCCAGCUUUUUGGCUGGGUGAGGAUUGGAUGUGGGGGCGGUGCUGGCUUCGUCGAAGAGGUCGGCUCCCCUUAAAUGCAUUAGCGGGAACGUCUUGCGGACCGUCACUUGGUGUGAUAAUUAUCUACGCCUCAUGACUGCGAUGCUCUUGUUCUGCUUCUAACCGUCCAUCGACUUGGACAAGCUUUUUGACAAUUUGACCUCAAAUCAGGUAGGACUACCCGCUGAACUUAAGCAUAUCAAUAAGCGGAGGCU